GAUGAACGCUGGCGGCGUGCCUAAUACAUGCAAGUCGAACGGGAAGCAGCAAUGUUUCUAGUGGCGACCGGGUGAGUAACACGUAGCUGACCUGCCCUACCGCGGGGGACAACAGUCCGAAAGGAUUGCUAAUACCGCAUACGCUCGGAGGAACUAAAGUACUCUGAGGAAACUUACGGGGCGGAAGGAGGGAGCUGCGGCCCAUCAGGUAGUUGGUGAGGUAACGGCUCACCAAGCCGACGACGGGUAGGGGGCCUGAGAGGGUGGUCCCCCACACUGGAACUGACACACGGUCCAGACUCCUACGGGAGGCAGCAGUAAGGGAUAUUGGUCAAUGGGCGAAAGCCUGAACCAGCAACGCCGCGUGGAGGAUGAAGGCCUUCGGGUUGUAAACUUCUUUGGUAGGGGGACGGAUAAUAGACGGUACCCCUCGAACAAGUCACGGCUAACUACGUG
This 456-nucleotide ribosomal RNA is filed under the name uncultured bacterium. RNAcentral describes it as "bacterial SSU rRNA". It matches the Rfam family "Bacterial small subunit ribosomal RNA", at positions 28 to 507 of the family's 1533-position model. The record is from RNAcentral.